AGAGUUUGAUCCUGGCUCAGGAUGAACGCUGGCGGUAUGCCUAACACAUGCAAGUCGAACGAAUCCUUUCGGGGAUUAGUGGCGGACGGGUGAGUAACGCGUGAGAAUCUGCCUUUUGGUCUGGGACAACCAUUGGAAACGGUGGCUAAUACCGGAUGUGCCUUUAGGGGUGAAAGAUUAAUUGCCAGAAGAGGAGCUCGCGUCUGAUUAGCUAGUUGGUGAGGUAAAGGCUCACCAAGGCAGCGAUCAGUAGCUGGUCUGAGAGGAUGACCAGCCACACUGGGACUGAGACACGGCCCAGACUCCUACGGGAGGCAGCAGUGGGGAAUUUUCCGCAAUGGGCGAAAGCCUGACGGAGCAAUACCGCGUGAGGGAGGAAGGCUCUUGGGUUGUAAACCUCUUUUAUCAGGGAAGAACUAAAUGACGGUACCUGAAGAAUCAGCAUCGGCUAACUCCGUGCCAGCAGCCGCGGUAAUACGGAGGAUGCAAGCGUUAUCCGGAAUUAUUGGGCGUAAAGCGUCCGCAGGUGGCUCAUCAAGUCUGCUGUCAAAGGCAGGGGCUUAACCCCUGAAAGGCAGUGGAAACUGGAGAGCUAGAGUGCAGUAGGGGUAGAGGGAAUUCCCGGUGUAGCGGUGAAAUGCGUAGAGAUCGGGAAGAACAUCGGUGGCGAAAGCGCUCUGCUGGACUGCAACUGACACUAAAGGACGAAAGCUAGGGGAGCGAAUGGGAUUAGAUACCCCGGUAGUCC
RNAcentral lists this ribosomal RNA (748 nucleotides) under uncultured cyanobacterium. Its description in RNAcentral is "bacterial SSU rRNA". It matches the Rfam family "Bacterial small subunit ribosomal RNA", at positions 8 to 796 of the family's 1533-position model. Lineage: Bacteria; Bacillati; Cyanobacteriota. The record is from RNAcentral.